GUACGGAAAGCGAUAAGGCUGAAUUCGUUUGAAGGUACUGCGCAUGUGCAAUCAAACCGGAAAUAUAUCAAAACAAUGGGCUAUCGUCGUUAGCGAGGGUUUUAUUAUACUAUGGCGUAGAUUUUGUUUAUAGAUACUCACCUUUGUCGUGUUCAUAAUUUUUCCAUAGAUGCUCGUAGGGUUAAGGUCUAGCACUCUUCAGCGCAUCAGUGAGAGUACAUACAGUCAUGUGAAAAAAUUAGGACACCUUAUGGAAGCCUGUGUGUUUUCUAACAUAUUUGGUCAUAUGGAUAUUUAAUAUCAAUUUUAACAAUCUUGAGAGAUUUAAGUAAUAGAAACAACAAUUAACACUGAAAAAAAAGAUUUUUUUUAAAUAACUUUCUGUAAAAUGUAAUUUUAAAUAAAUGCAACUUCUGUUGAGAAAUGAAUUAGGACAUCCCCAAAUUCAAUCCCACUUAAAAUAGCGAAAAUCACACACAGGUCUAUCACAUCAGGUGCACAGGAUUAGAACAUCAUUACCUAGUGUUUUGAAGGAGGCUUUCCUUAUUUGAAACUCACAUUUAGUUUAGUGUGCCCCUGACUGUUGAAGUGAGGGAAAACACCAUGGUGAGAUCAAAGUAGCUGUCUGAGGACUUCAGAAAGAAGAUUGUAGACGCUUAUGAGUCUGGUAAGGGAUUUCAAAAGAUCUCAGAAGAAUAUAAAAUCAGUCAUUCCACUGUCCGGAAAAUAGUCUACAAGUGGAGGACAUUUAAAACAACUGCCAACAUGCCCAGGUCUGGCCGUCCAAGCAAGUUCACCCUGAAAGCAGACCGCAAGAUGCUAAAAGAAGUCUCCAAAAACCCUAAAGUGUCAUCACGGGACCUACAGCAGGCUCUUGCUACUGUUGAUGUGAAAGUGCAUGACUCUACAAUCAGAAAGAGACUUCACAAGUUUAACCUUCAUGAGAGGUGUGCAAGGAAGAAACCUUUGCUCUCCAAGAACAUGAAAGGCCAGACUGAGGUUUGCCAGAGUGAAUGUAGACAAAGACCAGGACUUCUGGAAUAAUGUUCUUUGGACAGAUGAAUCUAGAAUUGAAUUAUUUGAACACCAGAACAGAGGACAUUUUUGGCUUGAACCCAAUACAGCAUUCCAGGAAAAGAACCUCAUGCAAACCGUUUAGCAUGGAGGUGGAAGUGUCAUGGUUUGAGAAUGCUUUGCUACAGCAGGACCUGGCCAGCUCACCAUCAUAGAAUCAACCAUGAAUUCUAUCGUGUAUCAGAGGGUGCUUGAGGAACACGUGAGAUCAUCUGUGAAAAAAAUUCAAGCUGAAGCGAAACUGGACCCCGCAACAUGACAAUGACCCAAAACAUACCAGCAAAUCCACCAAGGACUGGCUAAAAAGGAACAAAUGGAGAGUCCUGGAAUGGCCAAUAAAAAAGCCCAGAUAUUAAUAAUCCCAUUGAGAUGUUAUGGGGUGACUUUAAACAGGCUGCACAUUCAAGAAACCCCUCAAAUACCUCACAGCUGAAAGUAUUCUGCGUUUAGGAGUGUAGUGGGGCAAAACUUUCUUCAGACCAAUGUCAAAGACUGGUAGAGGGCUACAAAAAGUGUCUCACUGAAGUUAUUUCAGCCAAAGCGGGUAACACUAGCUAUUAGGUGGGAGGGUAUCCUAACUUUUUCCUCAGAAUAUGCAUUUUUGUUGAUAUGUCUGGUUUAAUGAGUAAAACAAUGUUAAUUUUUGUUGUUUACUUGCAAUUAAAUCACUUUCUUUUCCAGAGAUAAAGAAAAACAAGAUCAGACAUUAAUAUGUGGACAUUUCUUCAUAAAGAACUGAAUAUUUAAUGGGGUGUCCUAAUUUUUUCACAUGACUGUAUACUGAAGGCAUGGAGCAUCAUGAAAGAUACAACAUAAUGCUGUUUGCAAUACAUAUUUACAGGAAUGCUGUGAAGGCUGUUGACAAAGGGCUGCACCCCAUACCACAGCAACAUCUUACCAUGUCAUGGCAAGCCAUACAUUUCCACCCGUAGACGGCAGAAACGCACCGUUAAAAAAUGUCACAUAAAAGAGCAAGUUAUUCUUCAGCUUUUAAAACAACAGUGAUAUCUGUUGCUGAAUUGGUGGGAAAUUGAACCCGUACAUCGUCUUUAAACUCUUCCUGAGAAGUCCAGUGGCCAAACAGCGUGAUAGUCCGAUGCCACCCAAGCGGAUGCAUACUCCACUUACUCAAGAUUGGUUUAAAUCAGUAUGGUCUAAGAGUGAAACAAAAGGUCGCAAAAUGCUAACGUUGCUGCGGUGGUGCCAAGGUGCCGGCCAUCGAAAAGAUGGUAACAGAAACGUCAAUGGAUAUGGUGAUAAUUCCUUGCGGUUUGACUGAACAGAUGCAGGUCACGAGCAUAUCGUGGGAUGGUCCGUUUAAAUGGCGCAUGCGGCAGAAGUGGAACGAGUGGAUGAUUUCAAGGACUCAGCGGCGAAGCGAGGAAGCCAGAACUGGUGCAAAUAGCCGUUUGGAUUUAAGAAACGUGGGAGGCAGUCUCCCCUGACAUCAUUUCAAGAGUGUUCCAGAAAUGCUGCCUCACGAACAAAGUAGUCAGUAAGGAACUCGUGGUCAAGGAGGAACUCAACAGUGAAAAAGCAGAGAGACUGGAUAUUCUGAGAGUAAAGAUCAGUCAGACAGUUCUUAUGAAGAUUUUCUUGCUGACGAUUUCUAUUUGCUAUGAAUUACAGAAAUAGUUGGAUGUAACUAAACUGCUUUGUUUGACAUUAAAAUAUGCGUUUCAGAUGAGAAUGCAGGCGUUGUAUGCUGUGGAGUGAAGCACAAUGUGGGAGCAUGAACAACAAGUUGGGGGUUCGUAUUAGAGUGCAAAACUGGGGUGUAAAUUGUUAUGUACUCAUAUGUUAUAUACCAUUUGGCGUCAUAAAAGUAAGCCCAGUUAUCUUAAUCCUUUGAAGACCACAAAGUUGUAACAUGAUCCUCCUUAGUCUACUCAUGUCUUUCAUAAUCAUAUUAGGGGAAGUCAUAGACAACCCCCAGAACAGUUGACGAAUGAUUAAAGUAUACGUCCACUAGAUUGGAAAACGUGAGAUACAUAUUGGGAGUCAGAUUCUGAAAUGUGCGUGCCUCAUUCAUUAAAACCUGUGUUUGUUGUUUGACUGCACCCUGAGACUCUCGGUAUUUGUGUGUCUACUCCGUUUUUAUUAAAGCGUCAAGAACAGAAAACGAAUGAAUGGCGUUGUGGGUACAAAGUCGAGAGCCAAAGCCAACAAAAUCCAUGAUGAUACGAUAUUGAUUAUUUGAACAAUACGAUAUUUUCUGAUAUUGCAACAUCUACCAUGAUUCAAUUCAAUGGCCUUCAAUCGACAUUGGAAAUUACAGCGCAUACUUAACAUGUCAUAUCGAGACACUCAAACUUAAUUUUUAAUUAAUUAAUAAUUGCUAAUUUAUUGUUUAGUAACAUUUUUAACAAAACAUGAUUUUGUGCAAUUCUGAUCGCUACCAUACCUCCCAGUCCAAAUGGAUUGCAGACAAUUUAAGACUUAAGCAUUAUAAAGUUUGUACUUGAAUGCAGUUACUUCAGCAGUUCCUUCAUGACACUAAUGGACGAACCUCUGUAGCCACCACCAAAGUGGUUCCAGUGAUUCAGGUAGUUGAAGAGUUGGUAAAGCUUGUUUCUCCUGGCAAAACCGGGCGCCUUGGGGAUUUUUUGGUGAUAGGCAUUGAAAAAAGAGUGGUUGAAACCGCCGAACAUUCCAGCGAUUCCCAACUCAUACUCGGAAUGACCGUAGAAAGACGAUGGGUCGAAGACCACCGGGCCUUCCUCGGUUUCUGCUACAUUGCCGCCCCACAAGUCGCCGUGGAGAAGAGCAGGGAACGUCUGCACGUCUUGGAAGAAUUGAGGGAUCUUUAGCUGUUGAGGAAUAAUUUGACCACAUCAAAGAAGUUAUAUUUUUUAUACGGCAAGCCAAUGUCACGUACCUGAAGUUCUGCCCAAAGCUCUCUGGCCUCUCUGUCCCCGUUUGACUUCUCCAACAUGUUGAGCUGAGGCUCAAGCUUCUGUCGGGUGUAAAAUAUCACCCAGUCCUCCUGCCAUUCGUUGUCCUGGAAGAGAAAAAAAUACAUGAAAAUAAGCCAAACAUCUACAAGGCACUGCUGUUGGCAUGCAGUCUGUUUAUACCUGUGGUAUAAUACCACAGCAUGUGGUGGUAGAGAAGCCAUAUUUGUCCACAUAAGUUCCCUCUGACUGCCCAGCUCCUUUUCCUGUUAACACAUUAA
Molecule: long non-coding RNA, 4249 nt
Organism: Corythoichthys intestinalis (scribbled pipefish)
Lineage: Eukaryota; Metazoa; Chordata; Actinopteri; Syngnathiformes; Syngnathidae
Exons: 3
Source: RefSeq, a predicted model, not a curated record